UAGGGAAUCUUCGGCAAUGGACGAAAGUCUGACCGAGCAACGCCGCGUGAGUGAAGAAGGUUUUCGGAUCGUAAAACUCUGUUGUUAGAGAAGAACAAGGACGUUAGUAACUGAACGUCCCCUGACGGUAUCUAACCAGAAAGCCACGGCUAACUACGUGCCAGCAGCCGCGGUAAUACGUAGGUGGCAAGCGUUGUCCGGAUUUAUUGGGCGUAAAGCGAGCGCAGGCGGUUUCUUAAGUCUGAUGUGAAAGCCCCCGGCUCAACCGGGGAGGGUCAUUUGAAACUGGGAGACUUGAGUGCGGAAGAGGAGAGUAGAAUUCCAUGUGUAGCGGUGAAAUGCGUAAAUAUAUGGAGGAACACCAGUGGCGAAGGCGGCUCUCUGGUCUGUAACUGACGCUGAGGCUCGAAAGCGUGGGGAGCAAACAGG
Molecule: ribosomal RNA, 429 nt
Filed under: Gemmatimonadota bacterium
Lineage: Bacteria; Pseudomonadati; Gemmatimonadota
Description: Gemmatimonadetes bacterium partial 16S ribosomal RNA
Rfam family: Bacterial small subunit ribosomal RNA
Source: RNAcentral